This 407-nucleotide ribosomal RNA is filed under the name uncultured microorganism. Its description in RNAcentral is "bacterial SSU rRNA". It matches the Rfam family "Bacterial small subunit ribosomal RNA", at positions 509 to 917 of the family's 1533-position model. The record is from RNAcentral.
CAGCCGCCUCGGUAAUACGUAGGGGGCGAGCGUUACCCGGAUUCACUGGGCGUAAAGGGGGUGUAGGCGGCUCGGUAAGUCGGGUGUGAAAUCCCACGGCUCAACCGUGGAAUUGCGCCCGAAACUGCCGAGCUUGGGGCCGGUAGAGGGAGACGGAACUGCCGGUGUAGGGGUGAAAUCCGUAGAUAUCGGCAGGAACGCCGGUGGGGAAGCCGGUCUCCUGGGCCGCGCCCGACGCUGAGGCCCGAAAGCUAGGGGAGCAAACCGGAUUAGAUACCCGGGUAGUCCUAGCCGUAAACGAUGCCCACUAGGUGUGGGGGAGUAUUUCCUCCGUGCUGUAGCUAACGCGUUAAGUGGGCCGCCUGGGGAGUACGCCCGCAAGGGUGAAACUUAAAGGAAUUGGCGGG